UGGCCAGACUCCUACGGGAGGCAGCAGUGGGGAAUAUUGGGCAAUGGGCGCAAGCCUGACCCAGCAACGCCGCGUGAAGGAAGAAGGCUUUCGGGUUGUAAACUUCUUUUAUCAGGGACGAAACAAAUGACGGUACCUGAUGAAUAAGCCACGGCUAACUACGUGCCAGCAGCCGCGGUAAUACGUAGGUGGCAAGCGUUAUCCGGAUUUACUGGGUGUAAAGGGCGUGUAGGCGGGCUUGCAAGUCAGAUGUGAAAUUCCAGGGCUCAACCCUGGAACUGCAUUUGAAACUGUAGGUCUUGAGUGCUGGAGAGGGAAUCGGAAUUCCGUGUGUAGCGGUGAAAUGCGUAGAUAUACGGAGGAGCACCAGUGGCGAAGGCGGAUUGCUGGACAGUAACUGACGCUGAGGCGCGAAAGCGUGGGGAGCAAACAGGAUUAGAUACCCGAGUAUA
Molecule: ribosomal RNA, 452 nt
Filed under: uncultured bacterium
Lineage: Bacteria
Description: bacterial SSU rRNA
Rfam family: Bacterial small subunit ribosomal RNA
Source: RNAcentral